AAUAAAAUGCUAUCGAACAAAAUCCAGUAGCAAAUUAAAAAUAUUGCCAAGUGUCUCCCCUCAGAAUACAAGAAUGAUUCAAAAUUGGGAAAUCUAGUAACAUAAUUUAAAUGUAAAUUUACACAUGAGCAUUACAUCAAACCUCUUCUCUUCAGAGCAGGAGAGAAGAGGACGGAAAGUUCAUCGUCCAGCUGGGAAACUUAAGAAAGAGAGGCUGAAGACAAAGAAUUUUCCAUUGAAGGGUGAAACCAUUCAUCUGGGUGCGCCUGAUAUCAUUGUAAAUGGAAUCUCUGGAAAUGCAGCAUGAUAUGAUCUGUAGAAAACUCCUUCUGGACCAGAUGACAAUAUAUCGACUGCUAACAUCAGAGCUGGAAGAAGCAUUUAAGAAAACCAAGUCUACCAUGAACCACCUGGCUGAACUGAUACCUACAUGAUUUUGUCAAUUUAAUUUCUGGAAAGUGGUGAUAAAAAUAAGAACCUAAAAUGUUAGAGACAGUCUUCAACAUCAUGAUUUCUUUAACUUGCUGAAGUCUGGGUUUUAUUUUAUUGUUUAUUUUGCAACAGUAGAAAUAAAAAUUAACCAUGAUCAGAAAUGUAUAUUUUUAAAAUGACAAAAUAUUAAAAUCAUGAGUCAAGAAAAGCUUCAAAAAAUAAUGUAAUGCAGCUGGUGUUUUG
Canis lupus familiaris (dog) is the source of this 675-nucleotide long non-coding RNA. RefSeq lists it as uncharacterized. NCBI's taxonomy places the organism in Eukaryota, Metazoa, Chordata, Mammalia, Carnivora, Canidae. The transcript has 3 exons. The record is from RefSeq and is a predicted model, not a curated record.